UAGAUUGAAGCCAGUUGUCUAGGGUAUUUAGCUGUUAACUAAAGUUUCGUGGGAUGAUAGCCCACCAAUCUAG
RNAcentral lists this transfer RNA (73 nucleotides) under Martes martes (European pine marten). RNAcentral describes it as "tRNA-Asn". Lineage: Eukaryota; Metazoa; Chordata; Mammalia; Carnivora; Mustelidae. The record is from RNAcentral. RNAcentral also lists the same sequence under 4 other names.